Molecule: ribosomal RNA, 251 nt
Filed under: uncultured bacterium
Lineage: Bacteria
Description: partial 16S ribosomal RNA
Rfam family: Bacterial small subunit ribosomal RNA
Source: RNAcentral
AGAGGGCAGCUACCCAGCAAUGGGAUGCGAAUCUCGAAAGCCUGUCUCAGUUCGGAUUGGAGGCUGAAACCCGCCUCCAUGAAGUUGGAUUCGCUAGUAAUCGCGCAUCAGCCAUGGCGCGGUGAAUACGUUCCCGGGCCUUGUACACACCGCCCGUCAAGCCAUGGGAGCCGGGGGUGCCUGAAGUUCGUGACCGCAAGGAGCGACCUAGGGCAAAACUGGUGACUGGGGCUAAGUCGUAACAAGGUACC